Molecule: long non-coding RNA, 1726 nt
Organism: Pan troglodytes (chimpanzee)
Lineage: Eukaryota; Metazoa; Chordata; Mammalia; Primates; Hominidae
Exons: 2
Source: RefSeq, a predicted model, not a curated record
AUAUUCAGGCAAGGAAACACCACUGCAGGGGGGAAGUUAGGUAACUUACCCAGGGUUACACAGAUAGUGAGUGGCAGAGCUAGGACACAUGCUUGGGCCAGUUCAGUUUCAAGGCUGAUUGCUUCACCGCAACUCACCCUCCACCACCUCCCAUUGCUCCCCACUUGCAAGAAGUCACUGAGUCCAGAAGACAACCAAGGAUUCUGCGCUUGCUCUCAACUGGAAACAAUUGGAUCAAACUUCCCAUGUUAAGUUGCCCAGUUUUCCUGGUCAGAGCCAGAGUAGGGGAAGUAGGGACACAGAUCUCCCAUGCUGAACCUUAGCAAGCAAGCCUAUGGCACUUGCUUAAUCUCUGCGAUCUUACUUUGCAGUUGUGGUUAGAGGUAAUUUUAAAUAUGUCCCAGAUGUGACUAGAGGGUAUUGAGCAGGUCUCCGCAUGGGAGAGCUGGGCCAUGUGUGCACCAGCACCUUGGGCUGGCUCAGGAAGUGGGUCUAUCAGCUGAAACGUAACAAACUUCCUUUUCCCUCUGGCCAGAGGAAACACAAGGUGGAAUGGGGGAGGGGGUUGCAGCUGGCUUGAGUUGAAUGGCUGGGAGGAGAGGGCUCCCAAAGGAAAAACAUCAAAACAUGUUCUGAUGUUCUGUCUCUCUGCAGUGUGCUGGGGUAUGCAUGGGGUUCAAAGUCAGGUAGAUUUGGGCCUGCCACUUUACAUCUGUAGCUGAUGUUUAAAGGAGAUGAUAAAAAUGCUGCAACCCAGAUAAUGAUCACCUUACUCUUCAAAAAUACUGCCCAAGGUACUGCUGAUUAUCAUUACCUCUCUGUAUCUGGUCUCUUUCACUACAUGGUAGGAAAUUAUGUAUGGUGGGUUGAAUGGCUGCCCCUGUCCCGACCCCCUGCACUCCCUCCAUCCCCCGUCUUCCUACCCCCAACAAAAUAUGUGUCCAUUUGGACCCUGAGAAUGUGUUCACCUUGAAUCUGUGAAUGUGAGGCAGGAGAAUAGGGUCUGGAGGCUGGGAAUAUAAGGCCAAUUCAUGCUGACUUCCUAGAACUAAAUCAAAUGGAAACACUUCAGCUAUGACAAGAAAAAUCCUCUCUAUUUACAUAGGGAUUACACUGAGUAAAUGACUUUGUAACUUUACUUCAUCCUCUUCAUUUACAUAGGGCAUACACCAAGUAACCAGUGGAAACCUCUAGAUGGUAUUUAAACCCCAGAAAAUUCUGUAAACGGGGGUUUGAGCCCCUAUGCUUGGGCCUGCUCCCAUCCUGUGGACCGUAUUUUCAUUUUCAAUAGAUCUCUGCUUUUUUUGCAUCAUUCUUUCCUUGCUUUGUGCGUUUUGUCCAGUUCUUUGUUCAAGAUGCCAAGAACCUGGAUACUCUCCACUGGUAACAAAUAUGACUUUGUUUUUAGCAAGCAACUUUGCAGUGUAAUUAAGUUAAGGAUCUUGAGAUGAGAUCAUCUUAGAAUAUCUGGGUGGGCCCUAAAUCCAAUGACAAGUGUCCUCAUAGGAAGGGAAGAUACACACAGAGGAGAAGGUGGUGUGAAGAUGGAAGCCAAGACUGUUGAUACCAGUUGGAGAGCACCAAGAACUACCCGCAGCCACUGAAAGCUAGGAGAGAGGCAUAGGACUGUCUCCUUCAGACCCUCCAGAAAGACCAAACCUGCCUGCGCCUUGAUUUCAGACUUUUGGCCUCCCACAUUGUGAGAGAAUAAAAUUUUGUUUUUGAA